RNAcentral lists this ribosomal RNA (253 nucleotides) under uncultured bacterium. RNAcentral describes it as "partial 16S ribosomal RNA". It matches the Rfam family "Bacterial small subunit ribosomal RNA", at positions 524 to 776 of the family's 1533-position model. The record is from RNAcentral.
UACGAAGGGGGCUAGCGUUGUUCGGAAUUACUGGGCGUAAAGCGCACGUAGGCGGAUCGAUCAGUCAGGGGUGAAAUCCCGGGGCUCAACCUCGGAACUGCCUUUGAUACAGCAAGUCUUGAGUUCGAGAGAGGUGGGUGGAAUUCCUAGUGUAGAGGUGAAAUUCGUAGAUAUUAGGAAGAACACCGGUGGCGAAGGCGGCCCACUGGCUCGACACUGACGCUGAGGUGCGAAAGCGUGGGGAGCAAACAGG